GAUUCGAGUUGGGCAAUUGCUACUCGUAGCAAUGCUAAUUGAGUAGAGGAAAGUCCGAACACCACAGAACAGGGUGCCGGGUAACGCCCGGGGGAUCCGGUGUAAUGCCGGAUUCACGGAUAGCGCCACAGAAAAUAUACCGCCCCGACUUGUCUCGGGGUAAGGGUGAAAAGGCAGGGUAAGAGCCUACCGCAUCGUCAGUAAUGGCGAUGGUCCCUUUUAUGGGAAUCCCGAUUAAAUUCGGGAUCAAGGCAAGCCCCACCCGGUGCAAGGUCAAGCAGAAAGCGUUCCUUUUUUAAGGAAGCGGGUUGUUCGCCCGUAAUGCUUUCGGGUAGACCGCUGGAGCCAAACAGCAAUGUUUGGUCGAGAUAAAUAAUUGCCGCCCCGAUGUAUCGGGAUUACAGAAUUCGGCUUAUAGACUCGAAUCAUCU
Molecule: RNase P RNA, 431 nt
Filed under: Ignavibacteria bacterium
Lineage: Bacteria; Pseudomonadati; Ignavibacteriota; Ignavibacteria
Description: RNase P RNA component class A
Rfam family: Bacterial RNase P class A
About the family: Ribonuclease P (RNase P) is a ubiquitous endoribonuclease, found in archaea, bacteria and eukarya as well as chloroplasts and mitochondria.
Source: RNAcentral